UACGUAGGGUGCAAGCGUUAAUCGGAAUUACUGGGCGUAAAGCGUGCGCAGGCGGCUUUGUAAGUCAGAUGUGAAAUCCCCGGGCUUAACCUGGGAACUGCGUUUGAAACUACAAGGCUAGAGUGUGACAGAGGGGGGUGGAAUUCCACGUGUAGCAGUGAAAUGCGUAGAGAUGUGGAGGAACACCGAUGGCGAAGGCAGCCCCCUGGGUUAACACUGACGCUCAGGCACGAAAGCGUGGGGAGCAAACAGG
This 253-nucleotide ribosomal RNA is filed under the name uncultured bacterium. RNAcentral's name for it is "partial 16S ribosomal RNA". It matches the Rfam family "Bacterial small subunit ribosomal RNA", at positions 524 to 776 of the family's 1533-position model. The record is from RNAcentral.